This 2898-nucleotide ribosomal RNA is filed under the name Klebsiella pneumoniae. RNAcentral's name for it is "23S ribosomal RNA". It matches the Rfam family "Bacterial large subunit ribosomal RNA". Lineage: Bacteria; Pseudomonadati; Pseudomonadota; Gammaproteobacteria; Enterobacterales; Enterobacteriaceae. The record is from RNAcentral.
GGUUAAGCGACUAAGCGUACACGGUGGAUGCCCUGGCAGUCAGAGGCGAUGAAGGACGUGCUAAUCUGCGAAAAGCGUCGGUAAGGUGAUAUGAACCGUUAUAACCGGCGAUGUCCGAAUGGGGAAACCCAGUGCAAUUCGUUGCACUAUCGUUAACUGAAUACAUAGGUUAACGAGGCGAACCGGGGAACUGAAACAUCUAAGUACCCCGAGGAAAAGAAAUCAACCGAGAUUCCCCCAGUAGCGGCGAGCGAACGGGGAGCAGCCCAGAGUCUGAAUCAGCUUGUGUGUUAGUGGAACGGUCUGGAAAGUCCGACGGUACAGGGUGAUAGUCCCGUACACCAAAAUGCACAGGCUGUGAACUCGAAGAGUAGGGCGGGACACGUGGUAUCCUGUCUGAAUAUGGGGGGACCAUCCUCCAAGGCUAAAUACUCCUGACUGACCGAUAGUGAACCAGUACCGUGAGGGAAAGGCGAAAAGAACCCCGGCGAGGGGAGUGAAAAAGAACCUGAAACCGUGUACGUACAAGCAGUGGGAGCACCUUCGGGUGUGACUGCGUACCUUUUGUAUAAUGGGUCAGCGACUUAUAUUCUGUAGCAAGGUUAACCGUAUAGGGGAGCCGCAGGGAAACCGAGUCUUAACUGGGCGUUAAGUUGCAGGGUAUAGACCCGAAACCCGGUGAUCUAGCCAUGGGCAGGUUGAAGGUUGGGUAACACUAACUGGAGGACCGAACCGACUAAUGUUGAAAAAUUAGCGGAUGACUUGUGGCUGGGGGUGAAAGGCCAAUCAAACCGGGAGAUAGCUGGUUCUCCCCGAAAGCUAUUUAGGUAGCGCCUCGUGAACUCAUCUUCGGGGGUAGAGCACUGUUUCGGCUAGGGGUCAUCCCGACUUACCAACCCGAUGCAAACUACGAAUACCGAAGAAUGUUAUCACGGGAGACACACGGCGGGUGCUAACGUCCGUCGUGAAGAGGGAAACAACCCAGACCGCCAGCUAAGGUCCCAAAGUCAUGGUUAAGUGGGAAACGAUGUGGGAAGGCACAGACAGCCAGGAUGUUGGCUUAGAAGCAGCCAUCAUUUAAAGAAAGCGUAAUAGCUCACUGGUCGAGUCGGCCUGCGCGGAAGAUGUAACGGGGCUAAACCAUGCACCGAAGCUGCGGCAGCGACACUAUGUGUUGUUGGGUAGGGGAGCGUUCUGUAAGCCUGCGAAGGUGACCUGUGAGGGUUGCUGGAGGUAUCAGAAGUGCGAAUGCUGACAUAAGUAACGAUAAAGCGGGUGAAAAGCCCGCUCGCCGGAAGACCAAGGGUUCCUGUCCAACGUUAAUCGGGGCAGGGUGAGUCGACCCCUAAGGCGAGGCCGAAAGGCGUAGUCGAUGGGAAACAGGUUAAUAUUCCUGUACUUGGUGUUACUGCGAAGGGGGACGGAGAAGGCUAUGUUAGCCGGGCGACGGUUGUCCCGGUUUAAGCAUGUAGGCUGGUUGUCCAGGCAAAUCCGGAUAAUCAAGGCUGAGGUGUGAUGACGAGGCACUACGGUGCUGAAGUAACAAAUGCCCUGCUUCCAGGAAAAGCCUCUAAGCAUCAGGUAACAUUAAAUCGUACCCCAAACCGACACAGGUGGUCAGGUAGAGAAUACCAAGGCGCUUGAGAGAACUCGGGUGAAGGAACUAGGCAAAAUGGUGCCGUAACUUCGGGAGAAGGCACGCUGGUGUGUAGGUGAAGUCCCUGCGGAUGGAGCUGAGACCAGUCGAAGAUACCAGCUGGCUGCAACUGUUUAUUAAAAACACAGCACUGUGCAAACACGAAAGUGGACGUAUACGGUGUGACGCCUGCCCGGUGCCGGAAGGUUAAUUGAUGGGGUUAUCCGUAAGGAGAAGCUCUUGAUCGAAGCCCCGGUAAACGGCGGCCGUAACUAUAACGGUCCUAAGGUAGCGAAAUUCCUUGUCGGGUAAGUUCCGACCUGCACGAAUGGCGUAAUGAUGGCCAGGCUGUCUCCACCCGAGACUCAGUGAAAUUGAACUCGCUGUGAAGAUGCAGUGUACCCGCGGCAAGACGGAAAGACCCCGUGAACCUUUACUAUAGCUUGACACUGAACAUUGAGCCUUGAUGUGUAGGAUAGGUGGGAGGCUUUGAAGCGUGGACGCCAGUCUGCGUGGAGCCAACCUUGAAAUACCACCCUUUAAUGUUUGAUGUUCUAACGUUGGCCCCUUACCGGGGUUGCGGACAGUGUCUGGUGGGUAGUUUGACUGGGGCGGUCUCCUCCCAAAGCGUAACGGAGGAGCACGAAGGUUAGCUAAUCCUGGUCGGACAUCAGGAGGUUAGUGCAAUGGCAUAAGCUAGCUUGACUGCGAGCGUGACGGCGCGAGCAGGUGCGAAAGCAGGUCAUAGUGAUCCGGUGGUUCUGAAUGGAAGGGCCAUCGCUCAACGGAUAAAAGGUACUCCGGGGAUAACAGGCUGAUACCGCCCAAGAGUUCAUAUCGACGGCGGUGUUUGGCACCUCGAUGUCGGCUCAUCACAUCCUGGGGCUGAAGUAGGUCCCAAGGGUAUGGCUGUUCGCCAUUUAAAGUGGUACGCGAGCUGGGUUUAGAACGUCGUGAGACAGUUCGGUCCCUAUCUGCCGUGGGCGCUGGAGAAUUGAGGGGGCUGCUCCUAGUACGAGAGGACCGGAGUGGACGCAUCACUGGUGUUCGGGUUGUCAUGCCAAUGGCACUGCCCGGUAGCUAAAUGCGGAAGAGAUAAGUGCUGAAAGCAUCUAAGCACGAAACUUGCCCCGAGAUGAGUUCUCCCUGAGACUUUAAGUCUCCUGAAGGAACGUUAAAGACGAUGACGUUGAUAGGCCGGGUGUGUAAGCGCAGCGAUGCGUUGAGCUAACCGGUACUAAUGAACCGUGAGGCUUAACCUU